RNAcentral lists this ribosomal RNA (748 nucleotides) under uncultured Peptoniphilus sp. RNAcentral describes it as "bacterial SSU rRNA". It matches the Rfam family "Bacterial small subunit ribosomal RNA", at positions 28 to 776 of the family's 1533-position model. Lineage: Bacteria; Bacillati; Bacillota; Tissierellia; Tissierellales; Peptoniphilaceae. The record is from RNAcentral.
GACGAACGCUGGCGGCGCGCUUAACACAUGCAAGUCGAGCGAUGAAAUUUCGACAGAUCCCUUCGGGGUGAAGAUGAAAUGGAUUAGCGGCGGACGGGUGAGUAACACGUGAGUAACCUGCCUUAGACAUUGGGAUAGCCUCGGGAAACCGGGAUUAAUACCAAAUGAAAUCACAUAUGCCCAUGCAUAAAUGAUCAAAGCUCCGGCGGUCUAAGAUGGACUCGCGUCCCAUUAGCUAGUUGGUGAGGUAACGGCCCACCAAGGCGACGAUGGGUAGCCGGCCUGAGAGGGUGAACGGCCACAUUGGAACUGAGAAACGGUCCAAACUCCUACGGGAGGCAGCAGUGGGGAAUAUUGCACAAUGGAGGGAACUCUGAUGCAGCGACGCCGCGUGAACGAAGAAGGCUUUCGAGUCGUAAAGUUCUUUUAUAUGGGAAGAUAAUGACGGUACCAUAAGAAAAAGCCCCGGCUAACUACGUGCCAGCAGCCGCGGUAAUACGUAGGGGGCUAGCGUUGUCCGGAAUCACUGGGCGUAAAGGGUUCGCAGGCGGAAAUGCAAGUCAGGUGUAAAAGGCAGUAGCUUAACUACUGUAAGCAUUUGAAACUGCAUAUCUUGAGAAGAGUAGAGGUAAGUGGAAUUUUUAGUGUAGCGGUGAAAUGCGUAGAUAUUAAAAAGAAUACCGGUGGCGAAGGCGACUUACUGGGCUCAUUCUGACGCUGAGGAACGAAAGCGUGGGUAGCAAACAGG